UGAGAGUGGCGGACGGGCGAGUAACGCGUGAGCAACCUGCCCUAUGCAGGGGGAUAACACCGGGAAACCGGUGCUAAUACCGCAUAAGACCACACUACCGCAUGGUAGAGUGGUAAAAGCUGAGGCGGCAUAGGAUGGGCUCGCGUCCAAUUAGCUAGUUGGUAGGGUAACGGCCUACCAAGGCGACGAUUGGUAGCCGAACUGAGAGGUUGGUCGGCCGCAUUGGGACUGAGACACGGCCCAGACUCCUACGGGAGGCAGCAGUGGGGAAUAUUGCGCAAUGGGGGAAACCCUGACGCAGCGACGCCGCGUGAAGGAAGAAGGCCUUCGGGUUGUAAACUUCUUUGAUCGGGGACGAAGAUGACGGUACCCGAGGAACAAGCCACGGCUAACUACGUGCCAGCAGCCGCGGUAAUACGUAGGUGGCGAGCGUUGUCCGGAAUUACUGGGUGUAAAGGGCGUGUAGGCGGGGCGCCAAGUCAGGUGUGAAAUUCCGGGGCUUAACUCCGGGUAUGCACCUGAAACUGGUACUCUUGAGUGUCGGAGAGGAAAGUGGAAUUCCCAGUGUAGCGGUGAAAUGCGUAGAGAUUGGGAGGAACACCAGUGGCGAAGGCGGCUUUCUGGACGAUAACUGACGCUGAGGCGCGAAAGCGUGGGGAGCAAACAGGAUUAGAUACCCUGGUAGUCCACGCUGUAAACGAUGGAUACUAGGUGUAGGAGGUAUCGACCCCUUCUGUGCCGGAGUUAACACAAUAAGUAUCCCACCUGGGGAGUACGGCCGCAAGGCUGAAACUCAAAGGAAUUGACGG
Molecule: ribosomal RNA, 809 nt
Filed under: Thermoclostridium stercorarium
Lineage: Bacteria; Bacillati; Bacillota; Clostridia; Eubacteriales; Oscillospiraceae
Description: bacterial SSU rRNA
Rfam family: Bacterial small subunit ribosomal RNA
Source: RNAcentral